Molecule: ribosomal RNA, 546 nt
Filed under: uncultured delta proteobacterium
Lineage: Bacteria; Deltaproteobacteria
Description: bacterial SSU rRNA
Rfam family: Bacterial small subunit ribosomal RNA
Source: RNAcentral
GGCGGCGUGCCUAACACAUGCAAGUCGAACGGAAUGGAGGGGCUUGCUCCUUCAUUUAGUGGCGCACGGGUGAGUAACGCGUAGAUAAUCUGCCUGAUGAUCCGGGAUAACACUUCGAAAGGGGUGCUAAUACCGGAUAAGCCCACGGUAUCUUUGGAUUCUGCGGGAAAAGGGGGGGACCUUCGGGCCUUCUGUCAUCAGAUGAGUCUGCGUACCAUUAGCUAGUUGGUAGGGUAAUGGCCUACCAAGGCUACGAUGGUUAGCUGGUUUGAGAGAAUGAUCAGCCACACUGGAACUGAGACACGGUCCAGACUCCUACGGGAGGCAGCAGUGGGGAAUUUUGCGCAAUGGGCGAAAGCCUGACGCAGCAACGCCGCGUGAGUGAUGAAGGCUUUCGGGUCGUAAAGCUCUGUCGAGGGGAAAGAAGUGUAUUGUGGCUAAUAUCCACGAUACUUGACGGUACCCCUAAAGGAAGCACCGGCUAACUCCGUGCCAGCAGCCGCGGUAAUACGGGGGGUGCAAGCGUUGUUCGGAAUUAUUGGGCGU